AAAUUGAAGAGUUUGAUCAUGGCUCAGAUUGAACGCUGGCGGCAGGCCUAACACAUGCAAGUCGAACGGUAACAGGAAACAGCUUGCUGUUUCGCUGACGAGUGGCGGACGGGUGAGUAAUGUCUGGGAAACUGCCCGAUGGAGGGGGAUAACUACUGGAAACGGUAGCUAAUACCGCAUAACGUCGCAAGACCAAAGAGGGGGACCUUCGGGCCUCUUGCUAUCGGAUGUGCCCAGAUGGGAUUAGCUAGUAGGUGGGGUAACGGCUCACCUAGGCGACGAUCCCUAGCUGGUCUGAGAGGAUGACCAGCCACAC
Molecule: ribosomal RNA, 316 nt
Filed under: Shigella flexneri
Lineage: Bacteria; Pseudomonadati; Pseudomonadota; Gammaproteobacteria; Enterobacterales; Enterobacteriaceae
Description: bacterial SSU rRNA
Rfam family: Bacterial small subunit ribosomal RNA
Source: RNAcentral